This 87-nucleotide non-coding RNA is filed under the name Pseudomonas grimontii. RNAcentral also lists the same sequence under 1 other name. Lineage: Bacteria; Pseudomonadati; Pseudomonadota; Gammaproteobacteria; Pseudomonadales; Pseudomonadaceae. The record is from RNAcentral.
GUGGGAGGGGGCUUGCCCCCGAUGAGGGAGUGUCAGUUGAUGGAUUUGGUACUGACCCACUGCAAUCGGGGGCAAGCCCCCUCCCAC